RNAcentral lists this long non-coding RNA (453 nucleotides) under Zosterops lateralis melanops. RNAcentral describes it as "lncRNA (ENSZLMG00000001785.1)". Lineage: Eukaryota; Metazoa; Chordata; Aves; Passeriformes; Zosteropidae. The record is from RNAcentral.
CAACAGUCCAGUGGAGAAAAUGUGGUGGGGAGGGCAAUCAGCACCCCAGAGCAGACCAUUAAUGACUUGACUUUUGGUGCUGGGGUCAGUUACAUCAGCUUGACGCACACGCCCGGUUCAGCUCCAGGCAAGUCAUCUCUGUGAUCCUUAUUUGAGGGGAGGGAAAAAAAAACCAAAAACAACCCCAAAUGACCAAAUCUGUUGCAUUUUGUAAAAUAUGAAAAUACAUGUAUUUGCAGUGAAGAAAGAUGCUGAGGAUAGACCAAGGGAUAUCAUCUGUUUGACGUCACCAGAGAAACCCCCAUCCCGGCCCCGAGAGUGGAAGGUGGAGUCCCCAGCCAGGAGGAGCAGCCAGGCAGUUCCCCUGCGACGAUCACAGCGCAAAACGCCCCUGAAAACAUCCAACUGAGCCUGCCCUGGGCUGCACAGAGCCACCUCACUGCCUGGACUGUG